AGCAAAAAAAAUUAAGCUGUUGUAAAACUAUACUUUGAUCACAAAUAAUUCCUUUACACUUAUCACACUGUCAUUGAUACAAGGAGUCAUUCACUCACAUAACAUUUCCUAAUUGCUUGCUCUAGGCCACAUAAAAUUCAGGACCUUUAUACAGUCAUGAACCAAGAAGAUGGAGAAUGUGCCUUGUAGGAGUUUACCGCCUAAUAAAGGAGGAAGGAAGCACACCAGUAACCACACAUACACACACACAGAGCUGAGCACCAACAAGGAAGCACUGGAAUGCUGCGGGAGAGCCGCUCAGGAGGACAAAAGAGCACUGGAUGUCAGAGGCUCCCAGUCCUAGUCCUGGCCUUGUCACUUGCUCUUCAUUUGUAAAAAGAAGGACUGGCCAUGAGUGGAUGAUGGACUGUCCUCAGAAGCUGCCCCAUAAAGCAGUGCCACGUCUGUGCCCAGCCUGGCCUCCAGAACCCUGACGAGACACAGUGCCCAGGAGUGGUGGAGAGCGGGUGGGCGCUCCAUUCAUCCCCAUUCCUCCCGAUUCAACAGGUACCCGCAACGUGCCCACA
Camelus dromedarius (Arabian camel) is the source of this 566-nucleotide long non-coding RNA. RefSeq lists it as uncharacterized. The transcript has 3 exons. The record is from RefSeq and is a predicted model, not a curated record. NCBI's taxonomy places the organism in Eukaryota, Metazoa, Chordata, Mammalia, Artiodactyla, Camelidae.